GCCAGAUGUUGUGGUGCACCUGUAGUCCCAGCUACUCAGGAGGCUGAGGCAAGAGGAUCACUUAAACCCAGGAGGUCGAGACCAGCCUGAGCAACGUGAGAUCCUGUCUCAA
This 112-nucleotide small RNA is filed under the name Marmota monax (woodchuck). The record is from RNAcentral. Lineage: Eukaryota; Metazoa; Chordata; Mammalia; Rodentia; Sciuridae.